GAUUAUGAAUGAAAUGAAUUGAUAUUUUCUUCCCCAAUUAUCCUCUUCUCCUUUAAACCCUUCUUCUUCUUCUCUACUACUACUCCCUCUCAUCUCUCCCCACUCUUCUUUAUUACUUCUAAAACCCUACUCUCUUCCUCACAAUCUCACUCCCUAUCUCUCUCUAUUUCUCUACUUCCUCUUCUCUUUCACAAACUUACCUCCAAAUCACCCCAAAUCAUCCGGUAGCUUGGUUACCUCGGAUAAGCGACAGACAGCCACCCGGGACAUAACAGCGCCUUGACCUCUCUACGUCGCCCGUGUCCGCUUGCUACCGGUUCUUCCGCCUUCCGGCCGCCGUCAGUCAACCCUAGCUCUCCCCUG
RNAcentral lists this long non-coding RNA (363 nucleotides) under Ananas comosus (pineapple). RNAcentral's name for it is "long non-coding RNA (ACOM_LNC019408)". Lineage: Eukaryota; Viridiplantae; Streptophyta; Magnoliopsida; Poales; Bromeliaceae. The record is from RNAcentral.